GGGGCCUUUUGUGUAGUUGGUAAUUUAAAGGAUAUUUUUGAGAAUGGUGAUGUGUUCAAGGUCAGGGUGAGGUGGCUUCCAUCACUGAACUUGCUCCACAUUUUGGAGGAAACCAAAAAUAUUUAAAAUUGUUUGUGAACAUGGGAAUUCUGUGAAAAUGGAGAAGCAGCUGAGCAGAGAAAUACAAGGAGGCCGGAAGCCGAGUGGAUUUGAGGACAUACCCGCCUGGGGACUUGUAGGGAAUGUUGAGGAAGCUUUGGACUUCCGCAGACUGUAGGAGGAGGUGCAAGCCGGUGUUCUCUAGAACUUCAAGGGCUAGAAGGCAGCACCCAAUACAAGAAUGAGGAAAGGACACACUGGGAAGUUUGAAGGUGGAAGAUGACUUUAAACUUCUGGGACUGAAGUGAGAAUUCUUGGAAAGAGUAUGGGAAUCGGAAGUAAAAUAUUGCAUUGCCUGAGGAGAUCUGAUCAAAAGCAUAUCACUCAACUGGGGACCUGAGAGUUGAAAGGGCUGUGAUCCUAGGUCUUGGAUAAUGUGAUUUCUGAGGCCAGGAUUGCCUCCUGGAAGAACUCAGAUAGACCAUCUCGAAGCUGAUAGGCAUCAGGAAUACGAUGCUCUUUGCUCCAUGUCUGGGCCUCCUCACCAUACGAACGAACGCUCUGUUCUCUCAUAUGAUCCUAUGGCUACUGCCUCACAGCUGUUCACUCUUGGACACAUGGUGGGAGGACAUGGCAGCCCUGAAAUGUCUGUGGCAAGUAACCUGUCCCUGAGGUCCAAGGUGCUAAAGGAGACAGAGAGGACCUUUCCUUUCAUCCCCAAAGGAAGGAGAGCAGGGAGGAAGCCCUCAAAGUUACAUCUCUAGGCUUGAUCCUUCUCUGAGGUCACAAAUAACAUGGUCUCACCCUGACAGGGGACCUCAUUUUGUCCACGGGCAGCAGUUUUAUGCUCCCGAGAUUUUUUGGAGUGGUCGUUCCUGACUGUGAAGUGUUUGCCAAGCGCGGAUGGAGGGUUUGCCUUUCCUGUGGCCAGCUGCCCCCUGGGUGUCCACACUGGAGUAGCUUUGGAGGAAGGUACACCUCCCUUCCAGGCCAGCCUCAAAGCCUGCCUGUGGCAGAAAACUGCUUGGCAUUUGGAUUUUGAAGUAGUGUGGCAAUUGAAUUAUAUUUAAGAUGUGACCAGAAAAGUCCAAGUGUACUUUGGAAGAAAACCCACAGCAUUAAGAAGUCUAAUUUUGUCAUGCAAGUCAUGUGAACACCAAACUUUAUCAUGCCGUAUUUGAGAAAACACUACCCUGAGGUGGGGCUGUGAUCCUGCUGGCCAGUUCAUGUGACUCUCCAGGGAAAGUGCCCCCCCUUCCCUGACCACCACUGAUGGUUUUUGGGAGCACCUGUCUGCCCCCUGCCUCACCAGCGCAGCAGAUUGUCACACUGGGGAGUUUUUGCCAAUUGGAUGGUUUUACAGCCAGGGAUAUGAAUGGGAAAAAGCACUUGCAGAAGGAAAAGCACAGCAUGACAGGCACCAUUGACAUAAAGUUUUAAUUCAUGCAAAACACACUAUUUUUCAAGGACUCAUAUAUAUGCAGCCAAAGGCUUAACAUAUGAAUGGGACAUAUUUUCCUUUAAAAUGAAAAAAAAAAAAAAGCAGAACUUUUUCAUGCAGAAGAUACUUCCAAUUUAAGCCCAGGUGCACCUGUACCCUACAGAGAGAAGCAGAAUCCCUCUGCCUCGGAGACUGGCUCCUAGAAGGCUCCUGAGCCAAUCAGCCACACUCAGGGGUCCGCACCUGGGGUCCACACAGCCGGGGUCAGUUGCUGCACCUGUAGCCUGUAGUCAAGGCGCCAGGCAGGGCGCAUCUGGAGGCAGGUACUUAAGCACAGGAGCCUAGGCCUUGGGAGCCCGGGAGUCAAGCAGCGGGGGGUAUGGGCUCCAGGCCGCUGGCAGCGAGAUUCCCGACUCCCGAUGGGUGAGCUUCAUCCCCGCGUCUGGAAGCUCAGCAGCCCUGCUCUCCUCUGCACGCACCUGGGUGGGAUCAGCCUGGCUCUGGGCCGCCCUGCAGCGCACAGGACAGAGCGGGCCUGCACACGUGGCUCACUUGGGCCGCAGGAGCUUGGCCUUACUUAAAAUCAAGAUGUUUUGAGAACGUCUCCAGGUUCCUGGCUUUUCUCAGAAGAGUAUGAAGCUCUCCAGGCUCCUAACACAACCGCUCGCCAUGGUCAGCAGCAGGACCCCUGGGUGUCAGCGCGCGGUGCAGGUGGCGUCCCCACCCCAUCUGUGUCCUCCUCCUCUACCUCUUGCCACCACAUCACAAACGCAUGAGCGGCUGUUUCCCCGCCCUCGGGGCUUCCAAUUAUGGAGCUCAGAAAGAUUGGAAGCCAAAGCAUGACCCCUUGUUUUGGACUCUGGACCCUCCCAGGGGCCCUCGUCCAGAUCGUGUUGCUUUAUUAACACAGGACAUGGGAAAAGCUGCUUCUAAUCCCAAAGGCAGGCCUGAGUUGGGCUGGGAACUGGGAGAGCAUUCUACGCGCAUUCUAUGUUGGGUCUUUGGGCAUAAAGUCAAACACAUGGAGCUGACCCUCAAGGUUUGGCUAAGUCACUCCAGGUGCUUCCAAUCCUGUCCCAUUUGAGAAGACUCCCAAGGAGCAGGAGGCUUGACUAGACACAACUGGCUUUGCCCCUGAACCCAAGGGGACAUGGCUGGAGGGAAUCUGCGUGCCCAGCAGCUUGGAAGGGCUUUCCAGGAUAACCUUAAUCCUCGGAGAGCUUCUCAAGACCAAUGUGGGGAAACUGAGGCCUGAGUCUAGACUUCAAUGAGAACCUGGAAGAGUGAGCUGCUUUUGCACAACCUCCCCCUCAACCCUUCUCUGCCAGUCAAGAUACCAGGCCCGUGUGACCUCGUUUCCUCUGCUCUCCCACCAAACCAGCAGACAUUCCUGACAGACCCCAGACUCUAAGGGCCUCGAUCCUGGACUUUGAGGAAAUUUAGUGGGGACCAGGACCCUGAAGACCGAAAGAACCCCUCAUUUGGGAGGGAGGGGGGAAGGAGCAAUUGCCAGGACAAGGUUCCACCCACAGCACUGAGCAAGCCAAGGCACCAAACCCUCAAAGAAAACCUGGAAUUUCCUGCACAAGGAGGCCAUCUUUCAGAACCCUACCACAAAGCUGGUAGAAAACAAAAAGGGCUCUGGGUUUUAGCUGGACCAACUCGAAGGUUGGCGUUUGAGAUUACAGCAAGAUGUGGGAGGGGAGAACAGUGGGGAAAGGUAGACUGUGGUCCCUUUACUGGCAAAGACCCUCAUCUUGCCAGGAUCUUCACUUUAAAGGCCCUGAAAACUAAGAUCCCUCCCGAAUACUCUUGAGGAAAUGCUAUUCUGAUAGGUGGCUAAAAUCAGACCUCUCUUUAGCCCCUUUAAAUUAGUGGGGUUUCCUAGGAUUAGGGUUCUCCAGCUGCAACAGCCACUCUGUGUCCAGCCUAAGCCUGUUCCACAUGGCUGCCAGGGGACUCGGGGGGCAAAGGGGACCCACGCAACUGAAGCUCCUGCUGGGGAGCACGUGGAAUGUGGCAGGUCUACUUGUUCACUGGCAAGUAAGGUAAAGUCUCCAGACCUCCCACUGUCCUUGACAGUUUUGGUAAGGAGAGUGGGAUGCUAAGACCUAGCUUUUCUGGGAAAGCAAGGACUGAUCCCUUGUAGGCUGGGUUAGGGGGUAGGAGAAGCAAAUAUCCUGGGACUCGGUGGCAGGUGCUGUCACCUUCUGCUGGUGGGUGAAGAGUCUCUCCGUGUUCUACUUGUGAAUGGGACUGUGUGGUGGGAGGUAGGAUGUAAACACGAAGCCCCAAUAGUCCUUUGGGUGGUUGCUCACCCUUCCAGUGGGAGAUGCUAUGAGCAGUUGAUGGGCUGCUGGAAACAGAGCACAUGGGCUUCGCUUACUGGUAAGAGCUGGUGUCUCCCCUUCAGUUUUCCCCAUGGAUCCCUCCCACUGGCCACUUUAAGGAAAAAGCCAUGUAUGCUAUGGAGCCGUGGGUGGGAGCAGGAUGGUGGCUCUGUUGGCUACAGGCACCGGCGUCCCCAUCCUACUUGGUCAUGGGCAGGAAAGGAUGCCUGGAUGGGGUUUCAAGGUCACAGCUGGAAGGGAAACCAAUGUGGUCUUGUGUACGGGGCCCUUUGGGCGGACCCAGUAUGCUUUUCAUUGUGUCUACACCUGAUUGUAAGAAUUGUGGGCUGUUUGCACAUCUUGGCUGUUGUAAAUAAUGUUGCAAUAAACAUAGGGGCACAUUA
Long non-coding RNA from Canis lupus familiaris (dog), 4274 nucleotides. RefSeq lists it as uncharacterized. The transcript is spliced from 7 exons. NCBI's taxonomy places the organism in Eukaryota, Metazoa, Chordata, Mammalia, Carnivora, Canidae. The record is from RefSeq and is a predicted model, not a curated record.